Long non-coding RNA from Calliphora vicina (urban bluebottle blowfly), 362 nucleotides. RefSeq lists it as uncharacterized. The transcript has 2 exons. NCBI's taxonomy places the organism in Eukaryota, Metazoa, Arthropoda, Insecta, Diptera, Calliphoridae. The record is from RefSeq and is a predicted model, not a curated record.
AUCGUUGCUAGCACUAAAUUUCUACAGUUCUCGAAAGGAAACAGCCAACAGAAGUUCUCUUGCAAGAUGAAAUUAUUUCAAACCAUUUUAGCAAUUUCCUGCAUCAUCGCAUUGGCUGUGGCGACUCCCGGCGAUAAUAUAAUUAAAGGAGAUAAUAAUAAUGGAAAUACACAAACAAAUACAGAUUUUAAACUUAAAUUGGGAAAAUAAGACCAAUAAUAAAUUAUGAAUAUGUUCAUAUUAUUAUUUAUUUUGUUGUUGAUAUAUUGUAAUGUGUAGUAUUCAAAAAAUAAAAUAUUGAUAAAAUUUGUAUUAAAUGUAAAAAAAUAAAAACAAAACAAAACUUGAAAUACGAAAAAAUA